Molecule: transfer RNA, 82 nt
Filed under: Ixodes scapularis (black-legged tick)
Lineage: Eukaryota; Metazoa; Arthropoda; Arachnida; Ixodida; Ixodidae
Rfam family: tRNA
About the family: Transfer RNA (tRNA) molecules are approximately 80 nucleotides in length. Their secondary structure includes four short double-helical elements and three loops (D, anti-codon, and T loops).
Source: Rfam by way of RNAcentral
GCAGUCGUGGCCGAGUGGUUACAGCGAUGGACUAGAAAUUCAUUGGGGUCUCCCCGCACAGGUUCGAAUCCUUUCGACUGCG